GUAGAACGCUGAAGAGAGGAGCUUGCUCUUCUUGGAUGAGUUGCGAACGGGUGAGUAACGCGUAGGUAACCUGCCUUGUAGCGGGGGAUAACUAUUGGAAACGAUAGCUAAUACCGCAUAACAAUGGAUGACCCAUGUCAUUUAUUUGAAAGGGGCAAAUGCUCCACUACAAGAUGGACCUGCGUUGUAUUAGCUAGUAGGUGAGGUAACGGCUCACCUAGGCGACGAUACAUAGCCGACCUGAGAGGGUGAUCGGCCACACUGGGACUGAGACACGGCCCAGACUCCUACGGGAGGCAGCAGUAGGGAAUCUUCGGCAAUGGGGGCAACCCUGACCGAGCAACGCCGCGUGAGUGAAGAAGGUUUUCGGAUCGUAAAGCUCUGUUGUAAGUCAAGAACGAGUGUGAGAGUGGAAAGUUCACACUGUGACGGUAGCUUACCAGAAAGGGACGGCUAACUACGUGCCAGCAGCCGCGGUAAUACGUAGGUCCCGAGCGUUGUCCGGAUUUAUUGGGCGUAAGGCGAGCGCAGGCGGUUUGAUAAGUCUGAAGUUAAAGGCUGUGGCUCAACCAUAGUUCGCUUUGGAAACUGUCAAACUUGAGUGCAGAAGGGGAGAGUGGAAUUCCAUGUGUAGCGGUGAAAUGCGUAGAUAUAUGGAGGAACACCGGUGGCGAAAGCGGCUCUCUGGUCUGUAAC
RNAcentral lists this ribosomal RNA (696 nucleotides) under uncultured Bacilli bacterium. Its description in RNAcentral is "bacterial SSU rRNA". It matches the Rfam family "Bacterial small subunit ribosomal RNA", at positions 61 to 740 of the family's 1533-position model. Lineage: Bacteria; Bacillati; Bacillota; Bacilli. The record is from RNAcentral.